This 490-nucleotide ribosomal RNA is filed under the name Sclerotiniaceae sp. C10. RNAcentral describes it as "eukaryotic LSU rRNA". The stretch from base 127 to 280 matches the Rfam family "5.8S ribosomal RNA". Lineage: Eukaryota; Fungi; Ascomycota; Leotiomycetes; Helotiales; Sclerotiniaceae. The record is from RNAcentral.
UAGACCUCCCACCCUUGUGUAUUAUUACUUUGUUGCUUUGGCGAGCUGCCUUCGGGCCUUGUAUGCUCGCCAGAGAAAACCAAAACUCUUUUUAUUAAUGUCGUCUGAGUACUAUAUAAUAGUUAAAACUUUCAACAACGGAUCUCUUGGUUCUGGCAUCGAUGAAGAACGCAGCGAAAUGCGAUAAGUAAUGUGAAUUGCAGAAUUCAGUGAAUCAUCGAAUCUUUGAACGCACAUUGCGCCCCUUGGUAUUCCGGGGGGCAUGCCUGUUCGAGCGUCAUUUCAACCCUCAAGCUUAGCUUGGUAUUGAGUCUAUGUCAGUAAUGGCAGGCUCUAAAAUCAGUGGCGGCGCCGCUGGGUCCUGAACGUAGUAAUAUCUCUCGUUACAGGUUCUCGGUGUGCUUCUGCCAAAACCCAAAUUUUUCUAUGGUUGACCUCGGAUCAGGUAGGGAUACCCGCUGAACUUAAGCAUAUCAAUAAGCGGAGGAAC